UAUAAUAUUUAUUUUUAGAGAAAAACGAAGUGGACGUAAAUAACGGAAUAUUAGAAUUAGAUAAAGGAAGAAAACAAUAAGAAUAUUAUAUAUAUCGGACUGUUGUACUCUCAGUGAGACAAAGUUCGUACGUGUAAAGAAUGUCCUUCUCCUUGUAAGAGGAAUUCUCAUUUAUAUAAGGUUCUAUAUCUCGCAGUCAAGAGAAUAUUAUAAAUGCCAAAGUGUUGCAUCUCCGAGUGAGUCAAAUUUCGUACUUUUAGAGGAUGGCCAUAUGAGAGAGAUUCCUUUUAUAAGUCAAUAUUGAUAUCCCACUAUCGAGAGAUAAAUUACAGGUAUCACAGGUAAGUAUCUUAUAAUAUUUAUUUUCAGGUAAUUAAAUAAUGGAGGGAAAUAAUUGAAGUGGAAGCAAAUCUCUAAAUGUAGAAAUUAGAGGCAAGGAGGAGACAAUGGAAGUAGACAAAUGGAGAAAGCAAUAAGAAUAUCGUAUAUAUCGAACUGUUGUGCUCCCAGUGAGACAAAGUUUCCUAUUUAGAGAAUGCCCUUCUCCUCGUGAAAGGGAUUCCUAUUAUAUGAGGUUAGAAAUCUGGCUAUCAAAUAAUAUUAUAAAUAUCGAACUGUUGUUUUCCCAGUGACGCAAAGUUUCCUAUUUAUAGAGAAUGCCCUUCUCCUCGUGAGGGGGAUUCCUAUUGUAUGAGGUUCUAAAUCUCUCUAUCAAGAGAAUAUUAUAAAUACCGAAGUUGUGCCGAAGUGUUGUAUCACCCAGGGAGUCAAAUUUCUCAUUUUUCGAGAAUGGCCGUCUCCGUGUGAGGGAUUCCUUUUAUAAGUCAUUGUUGAUAUCCCCUAUCGAGAUAUUAAUUACACGUAUUACCGGUGAGUAUCUUAUAAUACUUAUUUUUAGGAAAUUAAAUAAUGAAUGGAAAUAAUUAAAGUAAAAGCAAAUUUCGAAAUAUGGAAAUUAGAGGCAAGGAGGAAACAAUGGAAUUAGACAAAAAGAAAAAAUGAGAAUAACAUAUAUAUAUCGAACUGUUGUCCUCUCCGUGAGACAAAGUUUCGUACUUACAGAGAAUGCCCUUCUCUUCGUGAGAGGGAUUCCUAUUAUAUGAGAUUCUAGAUCUCGCAAUCAACAGAGUACUAUAAAUGCCGAAGUGUUUUAUCUCCCAGCAAUGAAAUAAGACGAAUAUUGGAUGGAAAUAAAUAGAAGUACAUCCCGAAAUGUGGGGAUUAGAGGAAAGGAGAAAACAAAGGGAUGAGGAAUAUUGUAUAAACACGGACUGUUCUUCUCCCAGUGUUCUUUUCAUAGCGAGACAAAGGUUAGUACUUUUAGAUAAUCCUCUACUCCGUGUGAGAGGGAUUCCUUUUUUAAGAUAUUCCAGAGCUCGCUAUCGAGAUAAUAUUAUAAUAACCGAAGUGUUGUUGUCUCAAUGAUACAAAAUUUUUUAAUUUUAGUGAAUGCCCUUCUCCGUGUGAAAGGGAUUCCUUUAUAAAUGACGUUCUCGGUCUCGUUAUCGUAGAAGUAGAUUUCACAAAAGAAUUUCAAGUGAUAAAUCUAAAAAUUUUAGACCCUCAAAAAAAAAACGAUAUAUUUCAACAGGAAAACUCCCCCACACAUUAUAUUUAUAAGGCUGUACGUUCAAAAAGCAGGACAGUCGUUAUUUAAGUGUCACUAUCUCAUAACAGAUCGAACACAAGGUCAGCAACUAGGAAGAGGAAAAUAACCAAAUCUAGCGAUUUGUGCAGUUUGUUGGGGGAAGGGCAAUCCAAAGAGACUACAGAACAUUCGACUCUUCGAUGAUGAUACAUUCUUCUUCGGGAGACGAAUUCAGUCUUAGCCAAUGAUCUGGCUUCAGCACAGAACAAGGUCCAACUUUUAUAUCUGAGAAAAUAUUUUAGCUCCCUAAUUUACCAAGGAGCCAUGGCAUGUCGCCUAUCCUCUCCUGUGUCAUAAUUGUUAA
RNAcentral lists this long non-coding RNA (1952 nucleotides) under Sitophilus oryzae (rice weevil). RNAcentral describes it as "uncharacterized LOC115883263". Lineage: Eukaryota; Metazoa; Arthropoda; Insecta; Coleoptera; Curculionidae. The record is from RNAcentral.